UCUAGACAGGCAGCCUUGCCAGCCACACACACACAGGUUACAGUCUGAGAGUCCUGUGUAUUCUAGCAGCACACUCACCAGUCAGCUACCCAGCCUUGCCCUGGGCCGGGCACUGCUGCAAGAAUGAGAGAUUGGAAGAUGGGAAGAGCUGUGCUCCUGGUUUUGAAAUACUCAGGCUGAAUGCUGAAGCAAACUGUUUGCAUUGAUAGACGACACAAAUGUAGGGAGAAGUCUGUUGGCCUUUAGAAAAGGGUGGAGCUCUGAUCCCAGGAGACACAGGAUAUCUUCCUGGUGAAGGGAGUAUGUAGGGAAUUUCAACCUAAUACAUGGGUGUAGUGUUAUAUAGAGAGUGAUAGUGUAGGUGCAUUAUCUUAUGAAAUAGCAUAUCCAUUGCUUUCUUGUGCUUCUGCCUCUUCUGCCUCUUGACACACGCACACACACAUGCACACACAUGCAUACAUGUACACAAUAUACACAUGUGCACAUAUACAUGUACUUGCACACACACAUACACACAUGUGCACACCAUACACACAUACACACACAUACAUACACACAUGUGUACACACAUAUACAAGUGUGUGUACACACCCAGAUAUAUACACACAAGUGUAUGCAUAUAUAUACAUACAGACAUGUAUAUACACAUAUACACCUUCACACACAUGUGCAUACAUACACACACACAAACACACACACACACACAUACACACACACACACACACACCACAACUCUUCUUUCUCUCUUGGGGAAAGAUGAAUUUAUUUUGUAGCUUUGUAGAAAAUCCUAGUCUCCACUUCUUUACUGCCUGUCUUCCAAUGUUCUUUCUUUAAGGUCAUUCAGCUUUUAUUAUUGUUGAGCCUUCUCCUUCCAGUUCCUUCCUUUUGUGAGCUAUUUAUAAAGCAAGUGAAGAUACAGAAAAUGUCAACAGAAUAUCUAAGUGUUGUUGCUGUCUCCUGUAAAACCACCACUGAUUAGCCCUCAUCGGUCAGAUGACUCUCAACCCCAGAGACCCUAGAAGGCCAGAACUCAGGGAAGAGGGAUACUUGGUGUGUUUUUUGACAACCUAGUUGUAUUCUGCAGGAAUACAACUUCAGAUCAGAGCUAUAACCUCCAGCCAGGCCCCUGCUGUCCUGAAGGUAUCCACAGACCCUCCAUCUGACUUCCCUUGGAGAGUAUCACAGCUGUCACUUGGGAAUAUGAGCGAGCUGUGUCACCCCAGGAUUUGGGUGCAGAAGUGUAUGUGUUUAUCUGUUCUGUCUAGCCCUGUGUGGUGAUACACAUCUAUAACGUAAGAAUGGGAGGCAGGAUGAUUAAAGUUCAAGGCCAGUCUUGGUUACAUAGCAAGACCUUGUCUCAAAAGAACAAAAUAAAAAAAAAGAAAACUAAUAAAAGAGAAGCAGACAGACAGAAAGAAGAGAAUGCUUGUAUCUGACAGUGGCUGUCACCCACGAGUCUCAGAUUCAUCCCCUUAUUCUCAGACAUUUUGAGGACCCACUGGGGCCCACGUCUGUAUACUACCCAAGAGGCUACUAAAAUCUUACGUAUUUGAAGUUACACAUUUUCUGUCUUUUUAAAAUAAUUGUUUUUUUUUUUUUGCUUUAUGUGUAUAAAUAUUUUGUCUGCUUGU
Molecule: long non-coding RNA, 1631 nt
Filed under: Mus musculus (house mouse)
Lineage: Eukaryota; Metazoa; Chordata; Mammalia; Rodentia; Muridae
Description: long non-coding RNA chr10:67707837-67709468
Source: RNAcentral